CAGCCGUAAACGAUGCGCGUUAGGUGUAUCGGUGACCACGAGUCACCGAGGUGCCGAAGGGAAACCGUGAAACGUGCCGCCUGGGAAGUACGGUCGCAAGGCUGAAACUUAAAGGAAUUGGCGGGGGAGCACAACAACGGGUGGAGCUUGCGGUUUAAUUGGACUCAACGCCGGAAAACUCACCGGGGGCGACAGCAAUAUGUAGGUCAAGCUAAAGACUUUACCAGAAUCGCUGAGAGGUGGUGCAUGGCGUCAGUGACU
Molecule: ribosomal RNA, 261 nt
Filed under: uncultured archaeon
Lineage: Archaea
Description: partial 16S ribosomal RNA
Rfam family: Archaeal small subunit ribosomal RNA
Source: RNAcentral